AUACAUACCAAAAAAAAAAAACAACGGCUCCAGAAGAGCUAAUGAUUGAGAGACAGAAAUAACUGAAUUAGCCAUCCAUCUAGCAUUUUAAUCUAAAUAUCAAAGAGUUUACACAUAAUCCACAGCCAUCAUAGACCACUCUAAUGUCAAAACCGUAGUACAUCAGUCAAAACACAAGCACUCAAACAGGACUCAAACAGGAAUAACACAAGGUCCAGGAUCUGUCGAAUCAAGCAAUAUUUGUGAGUUAGAUUGGCCCCGUUUACACCAAUGCGAUGCUGCUCUCGCCACCAGGGGGCUUGCGAACACCACCAAAAUAGUCCCUGGAUUCCGACUUUCCAUCUGCAAAGAUGUUACUGCCGCUUAUUUCUUUCAGUUUAGCGCUGCUUAGUGGUUUUUCAGCAGAUCCAGGAGGAACAUCUCCUUUGAAAAUAUCAUUGCCAGUCAACUCCUGAAACUUCUGAUUGUGUAUUUUCUUUGAUGUCCUAACAACCGGUUCUUCACCAAACAGGAUGUUACUCUGACCUCCAGCAGGCUAUAAAAGUUAAAAACCAAAGUCUAGUUAGGCAAGAGAGCUAGAAGCCAAAGCUAAUGGGAAUUCAUCAUGCAUGCAUUAGCAUAAAGAUGAUAUUUCAGUUACCAACAAACAAACCAACCCACCACAAAAGCGCUUGUUUUCUAAAAGUGGGAAGUUUGGCAAGAAUAUGGAAAACUAAAGUGAAGACAUUGAAUGGGGUGGCAAGAGCAAGUCGAUUCUUAUUGUUAAUGCAAAAGACAAAUUUUAUAGUCCAUGUGAAUAGAUGAAGAUUUGAAAUGAGAAAUUAUUUGAAUUUGCAUUAAUGUUGAUGUUAAUAAUCUUUCACUUGAUGUUUGAGAUAAUUCAUGUUCACUUCUGAUGGACAUCUAUCCAAAUGGACCCUAAUCCUGAAGAAAAUUUCCAAUUGCAGUCCACAAAAAGGCCAAGAUUGAUCAUUCUAGGAGCCUUUUCUAUCAUUUAACAGGCAUGAGGGAUUGAACUGCAUUUCUUUCUAUGAACAUUUUGCAGUUUGAGAGUCCCAAAAUGUUGACACUUGGAAGACGUGCUUCCAAAAUGCUGCUACUCCUAUAAAUGAACCUCAAUGAAAACAUUUAGCCCACAAAGCUCACAUUGUUCAUUGGUUAUUAUGUCAGAACUUAGAAGAAAGCAGUAGCACCAAAUUAACUAUUACAUUCCUAUGCUCUUACUGAUAAGAUCAUAAUGUAUAGUUCUAGAUAAUAAAUGAAGAUUUUAGAACGCAUAAAAACAUGCACUCACAUUGGAAACUUUAACAGAAGUGCGUAUGUUUCGUGGGGCAGGUUUCUCAAUGUCUUUGUUUUCCUUUGUUUCCAAGGAACGUGCAGCAGCCAAGGACCGGGGUGCAAUUUCAGGUGAAGGGGCAAAGAUGUCAUGUCCACUUAUUUCCUUGAAUUUUGCAUCUGAUAUCUGCUUUUUACUGUUCAUGUCUGACUCACUUUGCAGAGUUCCACUUAACUCACGCUGCUUUGCUACCUCAGGAAGAGAAGUAGGCUUCUUGGGAGAGAUACUCUCCUCAGUAUUAAAUGAUAUCUGGCUAAUUCCAUUCAUUGCUUGCUGAAAAUGCAACCAUUAAUGGGAAAUGUAAUCGUGAUUAAUCUUAGAUAAUAAGUAAUCAAGCAUUAUUUUGUAUAAUUAAAGGGAGACCAAAGUACCUGAUAGACACGCACACUAGUUUUGUUAAUGGGAUUAUCAGCGCCAGAUUCAGACGCAUUAUCUCCACCAUUAGCUGCAAAUAUACCACUGCCAGUCAUCUCCUUUAACUUAUAACCGGAACAGGGCUUCCUGGAGAUGGCAAAGGGAAAAAUUCAGGACCUCAGAUAGCUUGGAUAAUUCAUAACCCCACAUGGUAUAAAGGUGAAUUCCCUUUUGAUAGGCGUUUCCAGAGAUGCACCUCAAUGUUCACAUAUAUACAAUCAGAAAGAGUACAUGGGAAAAGAAAAUAAAUCGGAAAAGAACAUACCCAAUUGAUCCCUUAUAAUUCAUAAAUUCUGGAAUAAUUUAUACUACAUGAUUUUUUUGCUUAACUAUCAAAUUUCACAUACACCUUCAAGAUUGUUUUUUUUUUUUUAAUUUUAAAAUUCAAACAACUGCAUAAAGAGUUAACUUUGAGAGAACAAUGGACCUCAAAUGACUUUUAGCCUUUCAACUGGUCCAUUAGCACUUCAAGAUAAUCUUACUAUUAUGUAAAUUUAAGCAAUCCAAUCUUGGGUUUUACUCUUCCAAACACUUCAACUUAAAUACCUUAUCUUCAUUAUCCUUCUUCUACCCCUGUUCCUGGACUUCAUGGAUCACCAUCAGGAAUAGACAUUUAAGUUUCCGUCUUUUCAAGUAAAAUUGGGCUUUUUGAAACUUUUUUUUUUCCAAAAGAAAGAAAAAGAAUUUGAAAACUUCGUUGAUCUUUUAAGUUCCUCUUCUCUCUUCAUCACUGUUUGUAGAUAAAUUCUAUUCAACAAAGGUAACUUGGUAAUUUAAGGGCCACAUAUCUUAGCCCAAGUUAAAGUAGCAAAACCCAAGGCUUUUUUUAAUUGUUUAAUAAUUAAUGCAUAUAACUUUUUUUAAAAAAUAAAAUUUAUGAAAUCACUGUAUUUUUCUUUUUUUAUUCUACAUUCCUUUUUUUCUUUUUUUAUAAGACUAGUCCUUAUAAAGUUGUAUUAUUAUUAUUAUUAUUAUUAUUAUUAUUAUCUCUAUUAAAAUUCUAUGUUUUUUUUCCAUCUCUUUUCUAUUUAUUAUUAUUUUUAUAUUUAUUAUUAUUUUCCCUAUCCAUAUAAAUCUAAUGUCAUUUAGUAUUAUUUAUUUAUUAUAAUACUUAGAUAUUAUAUUUUUAUUCAAUUGAUUGUAUACAUAAUAAUCAACAUAUAAUUUAACUUUGAAUUUAAAAAUUAUAAGUGCGAAAUAUUUUUAAUUAUUUUAUAUUAGAUUUUAUAUUUUUAGAUUUUUUAUUAUUAACUAAAAUCUUUAAGAGCUUAAUAAGGAAGAGAUUUGAUAAUUGGAAGAAUUUUCCACAUUAUGAACUAAAAGAAAAGAAAAAAUAAUUUUAGAAAAAAAAACAGUUUUGAGAAAUAAGUAACCAAAAACUGAAAACAGUUUUAUGUUUUUAAUAAAUAAAAAACUAAAAAUAAAUAACAGUAACAAACGGACUUAGUAAUUUAGAAAUACAUUUUCCUUCUCUAAAUAUAUUUUCGCAUACUAAAAACUCUCAAAAACUCAUUUCUCCAAUUAAAAUAAUUAUAUAAAUAAAUAAAAAUUCAUAAAACAUAUAUUUUUUAUGAGUAUGGAACUUGUAUUUUUUUUAUACGAUUAAAUAUUGAUUAGAGUUGUUGUUGAAUAUAUUUAAUAAUUUAUAAUAAUUUAUAUUUUUAUAUUUAUAAAUAUAACUUUAUAUUUUCAUAUUUACGCAUUUCUUUCCGUUUCUUAUAUUUUUAAAAAGAUCGUUUCCUGUAUCCGUUUCCGCAUUUCACCUUUUUGUGCAACAUAGAUAUUAUAUGUUCAAUAUAAAAGUAAAAAUAAUUAAAUAAAAGUUUAAUUUAACAAUUUAAAUGUUCAAAAGAAAAAUCCUUCAUUAUCCACACUGGAUUAUAAGGAAGUUUAAUCAGCCUGCUUCAAUCAACCCAAUCAGUCUAUUAGAAGUCUCGAUCAGUCCGUAGAUUUUAUGAAGUUUAUAAAUUCCACAUUAAUGGUGGUAGCUAAGGUUAAAGACGAAAUAACCAAAACCAAAACCAAAAUAAAAAAAGAAAAAAAAGAAAAAAAAACCACCAUAUCAGAUGAUCAUUUGUACCUUAAAUUUAUCAAAGUACUAAACUGUAAAUUAUUGUUAAAAAGGGUACUAACUAUAUAUCAAACUUAAUUCUAGAGUUAAAUUUCCAGUUUCACCAUACAAUCAUGGCCUUGCGUCUCAAGAAGUAAAACACAGGACUGCGUAAUACAUACCAAAAAAAAAAAACAACGGCUCCAGAAGAGCUAAUGAUUGAGAGACAGAAAUAACUGAAUUAGCCAUCCAUCUAGCAUUUUAAUCUAAAUAUCAAAGAGUUUACACAUAAUCCACAGCCAUCAUAGACCACUCUAAUGUCAAAACCGUAGUACAUCAGUCAAAACACAAGCACUCAAACAGGACUCAAACAGGAAUAACACAAGGUCCAGGAUCUGUCGAAUCAAGCAAUAUUUGUGAGUUAGAUUGGCCCCGUUUACACCAAUGCGAUGCUGCUCUCGCCACCAGGGGGCUUGCGAACACCACCAAAAUAGUCCCUGGAUUCCGACUUUCCAUCUGCAAAGAUGUUACUGCCGCUUAUUUCUUUCAGUUUAGCGCUGC
This 4361-nucleotide long non-coding RNA is filed under the name Jatropha curcas. RNAcentral describes it as "long non-coding RNA (JCUR_LNC000059)". Lineage: Eukaryota; Viridiplantae; Streptophyta; Magnoliopsida; Malpighiales; Euphorbiaceae. The record is from RNAcentral.